UACAGAGGUCUCAAGCGUUGUUCGGAUUUAUUGGGCGUAAAGGGCGCGUAGGCGGCGGGGUAAGUCGGGUGUGAAAUCUCAGGGCUCAACCCUGAAACUGCACUUGAUACUGCUCUGCUUGAGGACUGGAGAGGAGACUGGAAUUCACGGUGUAGCAGUGAAAUGCGUAGAUAUCGUGAGGAACACCAGUGGCGAAGGCGGCUAUCUAGACGGUUUCUGACGCUAAGACGCGAAAGCGUGGGGAGCAAACAGG
RNAcentral lists this ribosomal RNA (253 nucleotides) under uncultured bacterium. Its description in RNAcentral is "partial 16S ribosomal RNA". It matches the Rfam family "Bacterial small subunit ribosomal RNA", at positions 524 to 776 of the family's 1533-position model. The record is from RNAcentral.